This 301-nucleotide ribosomal RNA is filed under the name uncultured bacterium. Its description in RNAcentral is "partial 16S ribosomal RNA". It matches the Rfam family "Bacterial small subunit ribosomal RNA", at positions 509 to 807 of the family's 1533-position model. The record is from RNAcentral.
CAGCCGCCGCGGUAAUACGAAGGGGGCUAGCGUUGUUCGGAAUUACUGGGCGUAAAGCGCACGUAGGCGGACAUUUAAGUCAGGGGUGAAAUCCCGGGGCUCAACCCCGGAACUGCCUUUGAUACUGGGUGUCUAGAGUAUGGAAGAGGUGAGUGGAAUUCCGAGUGUAGAGGUGAAAUUCGUAGAUAUUCGGAGGAACACCAGUGGCGAAGGCGGCUCACUGGUCCAUUACUGACGCUGAGGUGCGAAAGCGUGGGGAGCAAACAGGAUUAGAGACCCCGGUAGUCCCUGUCUCUUAUAC